RNAcentral lists this ribosomal RNA (451 nucleotides) under uncultured bacterium. RNAcentral describes it as "partial 16S ribosomal RNA". It matches the Rfam family "Bacterial small subunit ribosomal RNA", at positions 354 to 796 of the family's 1533-position model. The record is from RNAcentral.
GUGGGGAAUAUUGGACAAUGGGGGGAACCCUGAUCCAGCCAUGCCGCGUGUGUGAAGAAGGCCUUUUGGUUGUAGAGCACUUUAAGCGAGGAGGAGGCUACCGAGAUUAAUACUCUUGGAUAGUGGACGUUACUCGCAGAAUAAGCACCGGCUAACUCUGUGCCAGCAGCCGCGGUAAUACAGAGGGUGCAAGCGUUAAUCGGAUUUACUGGGCGUAAAGUGCGCGUAGGUGGCCAAUUAAGUCAAAUGUGAAAUCCCCGAGCUUAACUUGGGAAUUGCAUUCGGUACUGGUUGGCUGGAGUAUGGGAGAGGAUGGUAGAAUUCCAGGUGUAGCGGUGAAAUGCGUAGAGAUCUGGAGGAAUACCGAUGGCGAAGGCAGCCAUCUGGCCUAAUACUGACACUGAGGUGCGAAAGCAUGGGGAGCAAACAGGAUUAGAUACCCUUGUAGUCC